UGGCCUUUUCCUGACAAUCCUCUCCAGGCUGCGGUCAUCCCUGCUGCUUGUGCACCUUUUUCUUCCACAUAACUUUCUAUUAAUGUGCUUUGAUACAGCACUUUGGGAACAUCCAACUUCCUUCACAAUUACCUUUUGAGACUUUCCCUCCUUAUGGAGGGUGUCAAUGAUGGUUUUCUGCACAACUGUCAGGUCAGCAGUCUUCCCC
Non-coding RNA from Pelobates cultripes (western spadefoot toad), 208 nucleotides. Lineage: Eukaryota; Metazoa; Chordata; Amphibia; Anura; Pelobatidae. The record is from the annotation of a GenBank genome assembly.